Sarcophilus harrisii (Tasmanian devil) is the source of this 867-nucleotide long non-coding RNA. RefSeq lists it as uncharacterized. The transcript has 3 exons. NCBI's taxonomy places the organism in Eukaryota, Metazoa, Chordata, Mammalia, Dasyuromorphia, Dasyuridae. The record is from RefSeq and is a predicted model, not a curated record.
ACACAUACAGAAAAAGAGAGAAACACAGAAACAGGCAGAAAUAUAAACAGAGUGAAAGAGAGGAGUUCCUUCCACUAGUACAUGCAUGCUUAUUUUGAAACAUACAAUUUGGAAGAGCUCCAUGGGCACUGAGAGGUUAAAUGACUACCCCAAGGAUCAUACAGCCAGUAUGUGUCUGAAGCAAGACUUGAAUCCAUCCCUUUCUGAUUCUAGGCCAACCCUCUAUCCAUUAUGUCACACUACACAAGCUUGAAGCACUAUAGCAACAUGAACUAUCAUUAUGAGGUACUCAUCCUCUCAUCAUGUUAUUUCACAUCUUCCUCUAAACCAUCUCUUCAAGCUCGUCACCUAACAAGUUCGAAAGUUAGAAAGAGUUUAUAAUGUCUUCAUCUCUUUGGGCCAUCAUUUCUUCACAAGCUGCCAUUAUCAAGAUGAGACAGCCAAUGAUUUUUCCUUCCUACUCUUUAGUUAGUGAAAUGACCGAGGCAAGUAUCAUGUACAAGGAGCACACAGGAAAGGACUGACUUGGUACCACUGAAAGAAUUCCCAAAUAGAUGAGACUCCUGAACCAUUUGAAUUUUAAUUGUCAAAAACCAGAUGGAGUGAAGAAAAAGACAUUAAAAUAUCUUAAAUAAAAGGGGGAAAUCUAUAUAAUAUUCCAUUCAACUUUUUUACUAUAAUAUGUACAUGUCUAAGAAAGUCAGUUUUUAAUGAUUAUAUGUAUAUUGAAAAUAAGAUUAAACCAAUGUUGAUUUUAAAUAUUUUACUAUAAUAUAGUGUCCACAGAGGCUAUACCCUUUGUUCAAUAGAGAAAUUGUACAUACAAGGUUUGAGCUUUGCUGAAGCUGAACUGGAAUUUCUGAGAAU